This 468-nucleotide ribosomal RNA is filed under the name uncultured bacterium. RNAcentral describes it as "partial 16S ribosomal RNA". The stretch from base 49 to 468 matches the Rfam family "Bacterial small subunit ribosomal RNA", at positions 39 to 507 of the family's 1533-position model. The record is from RNAcentral.
GGGGGGGGGGGGGGGGGGGGGUGGGGGGGGGGGGGGGGGGGGGGGGGCGCGGGGUGGGGGGGGGGCGCGGGUGGCGACCGGGGGGGGAGCGAGUGGGUGACGUGCCCGUGACUGUGGGAUACCGUCAGGAAACGGGGGCCCAUGCCUGCUAGGUGCUCCUGCGGCCUGGUGGUGGUGGGAAAGUUGCGUCGGUGGGAGAUGGACUCGCGGCUUAUCAGGUUGUUGGUGGGGGCGUGGCGUCCCAAGCCUUUUACGGGUAGCCGGCCUGAGAGGGUGACCGGCCACAUUGGGACUGAGAUACGGACCAGACUCCUACGGGAGGCAGCAGUGGGGAAUAUUGCACAAUGGGCGGAAGCCUGAUGCAGCAACGCCGCGUGCGGGAUGACGGCCUUCGGGUUGUAAACCGCUUUCGCCUGUGACGAAGCGUGAGUGACGGUAAUGGGUAAAGAAGCACCGGCUAACUACGUG